GAUGGGAGACGCUCCAAUAACAAUCAAAUUCCAUGAGGGGAAUGCUCCAGUUUCCUCCUCCAGACACCCGGAGGAGUUUUUGGUGGGCCAGUUUCCUCAACGCUAUAUGGGUAUCAGCCGGGACUAGCCAGAAAAGCUGUAGCAACAACCGACUUCCCUCAGAGAUGCUGUUCAAUGCAUGCCCUGGCCUUGAGGAUCAUCCCCUUGCAGUGUGAGCACAGACAAGUUAAUCACCAGACUUGCCCCACCGGAUUGAGCUGUGUGGGCCAUGUGGCCAUU
Ornithorhynchus anatinus (platypus) is the source of this 279-nucleotide long non-coding RNA. RefSeq lists it as uncharacterized. The transcript has 3 exons. NCBI's taxonomy places the organism in Eukaryota, Metazoa, Chordata, Mammalia, Monotremata, Ornithorhynchidae. The record is from RefSeq and is a predicted model, not a curated record.